UUGGGACACAAAGCCAAUGUCCUUACAAAACCAGGCCACAUCUACCGUCUACAAACGAGUAUAAUAAAAUGAGCAUCUUGAAAACGUUCAGAACGCAGGAACUGCUUGCAAAGCACCCUCUGGGGCGCAGGCCUGAGCCCAGUUUCCAUAGGAGCGCGCAGAUCCGGCGCGUAGGGCUCUGUUCCGGAAGUUAUUCCCGUCAGUACCGUUCUUCCUGUCAGAGCUGGUCUCACUUUUCCUCAGGCGUAGGCCGAAGCCGACUGCAGACGAGUUUUGGACGGAAGGGCCUGCCGUAUGGGGGCGUGGCCACGCAGCCGACUCCCCGCCAACACAGUUAACGUGCCGGCAGCGGCCAGUCGGUGGCGGCUGCUCUCGCUUUGUAGACCUCUUGUGGCCUGGCUGGGGACUCCGAACCUCAAUAACGAGGUUGUGAAGAUGAGAAAAGAAGUGAAGAAAAUCUGAGCUUUGGUUUUCUGAAAAUUUGUCAGGAGUGUGAGCAGACUGAAGUCAGAAAAGGGUACUGAAGAUGCACUGUUAAAAAACCAGAGACGGGCAUGAUUGCUUGAAGAAAUCCAUGCCAUGAAGGUAAGGACUUCCGUGGGUGUGUACAUAUGUUGUCUCCAUGUCUCCUGUCAGCCUGCACUUUGUGGGUGUGCAGGGGGUAGAGGUAGUGGUUGUAUUUAUUUGAAUAUUACUUCGAGUUGACUAAGACUUAUUUAUAUGGGUCUGUUUAGUGCAGAAUGUGCACAUCUAGAAAAUUGUAAUGUUUAAGCUUGCCUUUUUCCAUGUCUUUUUAUGGAAUUUGUUAAAGUACUAGACUGAUUUGAGCCUAACAGUGCUAAACUAAACUCCUGUAUAUUUAAUGAUGCCUCAUGCCUAAGGUUUUUGUUUUUACUGUAACGUUAGCCAUAAAGUCUGAGAAGUUCAAGCAGUGAAUGUUCAUGCUGUUUGGCAGUGUGGGUGGUGAUAUUGGAGGCUGACAUCAUGCUUUGCCUAUUGCCAACUCAAUAAAGUUUUGUGUGGUGGUGUCAGCAUUUUAUUCAGCUCUGUAGUAACUUGAGAUAAAAUUAGUGUUGGGUCAAAAUGAUCCAUGUUUUUGUUUCUUUCAGCCAGACUCUUCACUAACAUAAUUUUUAGGUCUUCUCACUGCUGUUACUUUGUGGAAAAUUUCAUUUACCAAAUGACAUACUAUUGAAUGUUUGGGAGACUGUUUUAUUGCAGAACUUAAAAACAGCAUUUGGUACCAACAGUUACCUUAAUUGUAGGGUCAUUUUGCAUGUAUAGCUGACUGUUACGUUUUGGUAUUACUUCUAAGUUUUGAGAUAGAUAAGAAAGCAAGACAAUUCUCCAAUAAUGCUUUAACUGAGUUAGAUUAUCAAAACUUCUCAGCAUGUUUUCCUUUUGAAGAGAUGAUUAAGUGUUUUAUAGGACAAAAUUACCACAGUUAAUCUGAGUCAAAGUUGUAGGACAUGGUUUUUCUUUGGUGUGAAGUAUGUUUUUUGUGAGGUAUUUUCAUUUGUUUUAUUUUCACAAUACUGCAAAAUUCAUGGAAUCUAUUUGAUACAUCAUUCUCAAAGCUCCAGUCCCCUUUUUAUCCAAUCAUUCAGUAAAAAUACCCUAUAUUUGACUUCUGAUUAUCAUUUGUGUCAAUUUGUGUUACACAUUGUUUAGGCUUUUUCAUAUACUGUAUUUUUCCCUAUGAAAUUUCUAUGGAAAUAAAAUCUUAAAAAAAAAAAUCUUUAGAGAUCUUUGUUCUGAGGAUGACACUAAGAUGGGAAAUUACGAUUUAUCCUUUUGCCUCUUUCACUUUCUCUUAACCAAGGUCCUUACUAAAUUACAUUUCUUUAUCUAAAUUUUUCCAUAUGAUUUCUUCUGAAUAGUUUAUAAUCAUAGUCCUAAAUUAUCCAGAGGCU
This is a non-coding RNA of Manis javanica (Malayan pangolin), 1913 nucleotides long. The record is from RefSeq and is a predicted model, not a curated record. NCBI's taxonomy places the organism in Eukaryota, Metazoa, Chordata, Mammalia, Pholidota, Manidae.